This 417-nucleotide ribosomal RNA is filed under the name uncultured bacterium. Its description in RNAcentral is "bacterial SSU rRNA". It matches the Rfam family "Bacterial small subunit ribosomal RNA", at positions 917 to 1333 of the family's 1533-position model. The record is from RNAcentral.
GGGCCCGCACAAGCGGUGGAGCAUGUGGUUUAAUUCGACGAUACGCGAAAAACCUUACCAGCUCUUGACAUGGGAUUUGGAUCUUGGAGACAAGGUUCUUCGGUUCGGCCGGGUCCCACACAGGUGCUGCAUGGCUGUCGUCAGCUCGUGUCGUGAGAUGUUGGGUUAAGUCCCGCAACGAGCGCAACCCUUGUCCCUAGUUGCUAACAGGUUAUGCUGAGAACUUUAGGGAGACUGCCGGUGACAAACUGGAGGAAGGAAAGGAUGAUGUCAAGUCAUCAUGGCCCUUAUGGGCUGGGCUACACACGUGCUACAAUGGUGGUUACAAAAGACGCAAUAGGGCGACCUGGAGCAAAUCUAUAAAAGCCAUCUCAGUUCGGAUUGUUCUCUGCAACUCGAGAGCAUGAAGUUGGAAUC